RNAcentral lists this ribosomal RNA (442 nucleotides) under uncultured bacterium. RNAcentral's name for it is "partial 16S ribosomal RNA". It matches the Rfam family "Bacterial small subunit ribosomal RNA", at positions 338 to 795 of the family's 1533-position model. The record is from RNAcentral.
CCUACGGGAGGCAGCAGUGAGGAAUAUUGGGCAAUGGGCGCAAGCCUGACCCAGCAACGCCGCGUGAAGGAAGACUGCUUUCUGGUUUUUAACUUCUUUUAAGAGGGAAGAGAAGAAGACGGUACCUCUUGAAUAAUCCACGGCUUACUACGUGCCAGCAGCCGCCGUAAUACGUAGGUGGCAAGCGUUGUCCGGAUUUACUGGGUGUAAAGGGCUUGCAGGCGGUAAGAGAAGUCAGAUGUGAAUUCCCGCGGCUCAACCGCGGAAUUGCAUUUGAACCUGGUUUUCUUGAGUACCGUAGAGGUGAUCGGAAUUCGUGGUGUAGCGGUGAAAUGCGUAGAUAUAAGGAAGAACACCAGUGGCGAAGGCGGCUGACUGGACGGCAACUGACGGUGAGGCGCGAAAGUGUGGGGAGCAAACAGGAUUAGAUACCCUUGUAGUC